GCAGAGGAGCACAGACCUUCCCCUUCCUGCAUUGCACACAACGGGGGCUUCGACUCACUUCAAAGCUUGCAGGAUCCUUGUCCUUCCCUGCAAAUCCAGGCACAGCUUCUUGGAGCAGGCUUGUUCCAGCUUCCAUCUUGUAGCUGUGUCACCUGUGAAGACCCUGCUCUGUGCACGGCUGCCGCAAGGAGCACCUGAAGGAUGGAGCUCAGCUCUCUCCAAGGCUGGUGUGUGUGGAACAAAGCCAGAGGAUUGUGCUGGUUCACCAGUUUCUGCCUGCGUGUGGAGUCUCCGUGCCGUGGUUUCCUCUGCUGCUCUCCAGCCCAGAAAGCACCAGAGGACUUCCAGGCCCCCUCUCCAGCCAUCUGACACAUGGAAAGGAGGGGAACCUUCCUGGUACUGGCACACUGGUGGAGAACCUUUCUGACUGCAGGAGGGGAGGAACCUCCACUGGCAUCUGAUGGGCCUGCAGAAGAACUGCUCUUCACAUGGCACUGCUGGGGUGAAGAGAAUCCAGGUCUUACAAAGGUGUCUGCUCUAUUGUGGGAGCUGCCAGAAACUGCCACCAAAGCCUUGCCACAAAAGGUCCCAGCUCCUAGAAGACAAGGUCAGUCCUUCCCUUAAUGGCUCCAUACUAUGCAGGCUCAGCAAGAAGGGCUCCACUAAAGCAUCUUCACUGAGUCUCCAUCACACAGUGAUGCCCUCUGACCCUGUGCCAGUAAAGCCAGACUGGCAAAGCAGCUGCCAGGUGCUGCAGGGGUGCAGUCCUGUGUACACCAGGCCAGAGUCACAAAAGCUGUGACAACAAAUUUGCUUGCAGUCUUCUGUGGAUCUAAACAUCAGCCACAACUUGGGGGGUGUGUG
Molecule: long non-coding RNA, 864 nt
Organism: Pogoniulus pusillus (Red-fronted tinkerbird)
Lineage: Eukaryota; Metazoa; Chordata; Aves; Piciformes; Lybiidae
Exons: 3
Source: RefSeq, a predicted model, not a curated record